This 587-nucleotide unclassified non-coding RNA is filed under the name Hevea brasiliensis (rubber tree). Lineage: Eukaryota; Viridiplantae; Streptophyta; Magnoliopsida; Malpighiales; Euphorbiaceae. The record is from RNAcentral.
ACGGUAACGGUAACGGUAACGGUAGUGGAACUGGAAGGACUCACGAGUGUUCGAUUUGCCACAAGUGUUUUCCGACUGGGCAAGCUUUGGGAGGACACAAACGGUGUCACUACGACGGUGGUAACAGUAACGGUAACGGAAAUGCUAACGCUAACAGUAGCAUUAGCGCUAGCGUCGGAGUUACGUCGUCGGAGGGCGUGGGUUCAACAAUCAGCCACCGUGAUUUUGACUUGAACAUUCCGGCGUUGCCGGAAUUCUGGCCUGGAUUUGGUUCCGGCGAAGAUGAGGUGGAGAGUCCACAUCCGGCGAAGAAAUCUCGGCUAUCUCUACCUCCAAAAUUUGAAUUAUUCCAACAUUAAUGUGACUUUAAUUGCUAGGAUUUACGAAAUUUGUAGACAAAUUAUAUGUAAUUUUUUCUUUUCAUUGUGGGUGGGAUCAAAAUUUUAAAUUAUAUAUGUAUAUAGGACCUAGCUAGCUAUAGUGAAAAUUCAAUUGAUUGAUUAAUUUUUCUUGGAAUUACUUUGUUCACUUGCACUUUGGUUUCUUUAAUAAAAACAUAUAAGUUUUAACUAAUCACACUUUAAUAA